Schizosaccharomyces pombe (fission yeast) is the source of this 450-nucleotide non-coding RNA. The record is from the annotation of a GenBank genome assembly. NCBI's taxonomy places the organism in Eukaryota, Fungi, Ascomycota, Schizosaccharomycetes, Schizosaccharomycetales, Schizosaccharomycetaceae.
CAGUAAUCAACCAAAUAUUAACGUUCCCAUUUCCAACAAAACAGUCAUUUGGAGUAAAGGGAAUAAGUUUAUGACUCAAUCCCUUUUCCACAAUCGGAUGUCGUCCCUGUAUUACAGUAUGAGCAUGUGAAUCAUCAACCACUGGACGGACAAAAUCCUGUUCCUGUGCUAAAGUCGCUAAAGAAGUAGAAAUAUCUAAUUCAUCCAGGGCAUUAGCUAAUGAACGCAAUGUUUUGUGAUGGCUAACUAUCUCAUCAGUGAUACUUUUCAAGACUCUCUGCUCCUCUUGAUGUAUAUGCAAUUUAGUAUUCUCAAGAUCCAUUCCAAGCGAAGUCCAGCCCGGUAGUUGAAAGCUUGCCGUACUCUUUGUUGAUUGAAAGAGAACUGCUUGAGUAAAUUUUUUGAUAAAUCGCUCAAUGGUUUCGUUGCCUGACAAUUUUAAAUGUACAU